AUUGAACGCUGGCGGAAUGCUUUACACAUGCAAGUCGAGCGGCAGCGCGGGGGCAACCCCUGGCGGCGAGCGGCGAACGGGUGAGUAACAUAUCGGAACGUACCCCGUCGUGGGGGAUAACACAGCGAAAGCUGUGCUAAUACCGCAUACGACCUGAGGGUGAAAGCGGGGGAUCGCAAGACCUCGCGCGAUGGGAGCGGCCGAUAUCGGAUUAGCUUGUUGGUGAGGUAAAGGCUCACCAAGGCGACGAUCCGUAGCUGGUCUGAGAGGACGACCAGCCACACUGGAACUGAGACACGGUCCAGACUCCUACGGAGGCAGCAGUGGGGAAUUUUGGACAAUGGGGGCAACCCGUGAUCCAGCCAUUCCGCGUGAGUGAAGAAGGCC
Molecule: ribosomal RNA, 387 nt
Filed under: uncultured bacterium
Lineage: Bacteria
Description: bacterial SSU rRNA
Rfam family: Bacterial small subunit ribosomal RNA
Source: RNAcentral